This is a non-coding RNA of Drosophila melanogaster (fruit fly), 374 nucleotides long. The record is from Ensembl. NCBI's taxonomy places the organism in Eukaryota, Metazoa, Arthropoda, Insecta, Diptera, Drosophilidae.
GCCGGUCUGGUCUGUCCUCCCUUUGGAGCUACCGCUCUCCUGGCCGGCGAUUGGGCCCAGUUAGGCGCAUGACUAACUCGCCGGCUCUACAACAACCAACUCGGCAACAACUAUAAAAACAAGCAAAACUACGACAUCGCAGCGCAGCUUGUCGUGUCAUCGGCGACGUUGUUGUCGUGCAACUGUAAGCAAAAAAGAUACAAGGCAAAAAACAGGCUUCACACGCGAGGGUGAAGUUAGAAUACUCUGGUGAAUACUUUAUAAAAUACUUUGGAAAACACGUCUGCUUAAAUUAAGACUGCAGCUAAAGAUGCACAACUAAUAAAACUUUAUUUUGUGAAGCUUGCGAAAACAGAAAAAUUCCUUUGACUCAU